This 2882-nucleotide long non-coding RNA is filed under the name Zea mays. RNAcentral's name for it is "long non-coding RNA (ZMAY_LNC003652)". The record is from RNAcentral. Lineage: Eukaryota; Viridiplantae; Streptophyta; Magnoliopsida; Poales; Poaceae.
AAUAAUCAGAGUAUUUAUUACAUAGCGGAAGUCUUACAAAAUAAAAAAAAAUAAAAGGAUCCAAAAUCUAUCCUUGGCGCUAGAAAGUCAACUGGGAGACGCCACCCAGAUCGAAUUGAACUCCUCGAUGUGUGGCUCCACUUGAACCACAUGUUCUUCUCCUGUGGGGGGGUGUGAGACAGCAAGGGUGAGCUCACAUACGUUCAUAGCUCAACAAGUUGUGGGGACUAAUGUGCAUGAACUCCCCAAAGGUGGAAGUUCAUGUGAAGUGUAAGGUUGAUCAACAAAAUAAAGGUUGAGGCUGAGCAUUGCUUUUAUAAGUUGGUCAAAAUUUUAUUAGCAAUUACUAAGUAUAAGUAUAUACCAAACCAUAAUAAAUAAUAGAACAAAAUUAAUAAAUAAUCUCAUGCAAAUGCAAAUGACAAAUUGAAUUUAAGUUACAUAAAUUAAUCAUGUGAGUGUCCGAGCUGCUCAUGACCGUGAGCACGACUAAUAUACCAGUUUUACACUCUGCAGAGGUUGUGCAUGUUUACCCACAAGUCAUGUUACCCAUCUUCCAAGGGGUCAUGAAUCCCAUACACCUCUACUAAGAAAGCGAGGCAGGGUAACACUACGAGGCCUUUACAAUGUUCCACUAGCUUCAGAAAACCCGCUACAGUUUCUAGGAAGCUCCAAUGCAGGGAUCCCUCACCUGACCGCCAUCAUAGCAUAAUCAACCCAAGGACCUCCCUACACUGACCACUCCCCUACUGCCCUUGCCCCUUUCGGGUAAGGUAGUCAUCCACUAGCUUUCCUAAUUAGUCAGCCAAGGGCAUCCCAUACUACCCUUGUGGUGGCACUAUUUUCCCGGGUGGUUCUCCAUGUUCCCAUUAACAUAAUGAUCUUAUCAUGAACAUAAAUAACAUAACAGAAUAAUAGGAACAUGGAUAUAAUGAAAUAUUAACCCAAAAACCGUGUAAAGCAAUAGCAUAACUACCCAAUGAUUCAGGGGUAAACAAGGUAAAAGAUAAACAGUCUAGGGUGACCUAUUGGGUCCCAUCAAAAUUAAACCUAUGCAUGAAUAGUGAUAAUAAAGAAUAUAAUUGUGUAACAAAAGUGGAUCAAGGGCAAAACUUGCCUGGCACUUGAGAUUCCAGUUACCUGGGUGAUUCUUUAGAUCCUCGAAACCUCGCGCUAGUCGUAGCAAUACAAACAAACAUGGUAUAGAUAAAAUUAACAUCACACCAAACAUAACAACAAACUGAAUAAUAAUGAUCUACGCGAAGCUAUAAGAUCGUGGGAUCGAGAACUACUAAGAUCGGAGUUACGAUUAAGGAGUUAUGAUUUUAUAGAAGAUCCGUGUGAUUAAAUAUUAAACUAUAUUAUAAAUUGGUUAAUAUAAAUCAUAUGAGAGGUUAUUUUAUAAAUAAUUAUCUCAACUUUAAUCUAAGUUAUGAAUUGACCAUAAAUCAUCUUAUAGUAGAUUAUAAUGAUAAGUAGAUUAACAAGACUAACCCACAAAAAUUAAAUAAAGAUCUAAUUAGAAAAGAAUGAGACAUGGUAUAAUAACUAUUGUUAUUGCAUAGUAAUUAUUUAUACGAGACUAAUGCAACUUGAAUGGAUCAAAUCGGAGUUAUAGAUUUUAAGUUAUGAAUUUCCAAAGAUUUUAUGUGUUUUGUACAAGAUUAAAUAGAAUAUAAAUUUAAUUUGACUUUCAUGUCAAAACAGUGGUACUAACUAAUAAACAAUAAUAUUACAAAAUUAUAGGAAUUGGAAUGGAUUAAUUUGGACUCCAUAUGAAUUUUCUAUGAUUUAUAAAAAUUUCAGCAUUUAUUUUCACGUUUAAAAAUCAUUUUCCAAUUACUUUUAGUGGAUUUCUAAUUCCCUGGACUGGGCGUCAAAUUCUAGAAAAGACAGGAGCUCAUCUAUAAUUUUCCACAAGACUCAGACCGCAACCCUACUGGACGGCGGGUUAAUUCACAAGAAGUCGAAGGGCUCUUUUGCAAACAUGCGAGGUCGAAGGGGUAUGAGAGCGUCAGAGCCGUCCGAUCGAAAUCUGAAGAUCCAGAUUAGAUCCCGAGCCAAUCGAACGAAAUACAGUGCGGACCUUCGGAUUAAGAUCUAACGGUGUAGAUGUUUAUAUAUCCAGAUCCAAUCGCCACCACUGGAUCUACAGCCUACGGUUCAGAUUCUAAACUCCGGAGAUCGCACCGCGUCCAUCCGAUCACGGAUCAAUGGUCCGAGCAUGACUGGGGCUUUGCAGUCAAUCGUGACCGGACACGCAUGGAUCAACGGCCGAGCGGCGUCCAAACCGAAGGGGUACGCAUAUCUAAACCACGCCGUUAGAUCCGGAUCCGAUGACCGGUGUUCAUCAACUAACCCAGCGGCGGCUGAGCGGCGGCGCGCUUAUGCCCCGCGGCGGAGCAUCGCCGUCGCGUGCUUGAUCCGGCUCCUAGUGCGAGCCACUACGCGAUUUCUAGUGCAAAACGAAGCCAAUAGAACAACAAGGGCGGAGAUGGUGAUUUUACCGGCGAUUAAGCUCUAAGGAAGUCCGCCCUCGCUGCGCGGCGGCUCGAGCACGAGAGGAGAGGUCCAGCGACCAAUUCGUGAAGUCCUCGACGACAAUUCCAGGUGGCGUGGCCACCAGCGCCCGCCCCGCAGCCGAGGGAAGGCCCUGAGCCCCAUAAUGGAGGCGCGGACGACGGCAAGCCGGAGCACCCCUGCAGUAGCCCCAGCUUCUCUCCGUGGCGGCAGGAAAUUCUCACGAUUGCGGCAAGGAUGGCGGGGUAAGGGUGGGGCGAGUUGAUCGAGUCGCUGGCCGAGUCCUUUAUGCGCCCCUGGGGUUCGCAGCAUGAGCUGUAGGCAGUCGUUCCGCCGAUCCGUACAAGGCGGAAAUCUCCCGG